This is a long non-coding RNA of Oncorhynchus nerka (sockeye salmon), 4532 nucleotides long. RefSeq lists it as uncharacterized. Lineage: Eukaryota; Metazoa; Chordata; Actinopteri; Salmoniformes; Salmonidae. The record is from RefSeq and is a predicted model, not a curated record. The transcript is spliced from 6 exons.
CUGACGUGUCCAUGAAGUGUAAACAACAAUCCUGCAGGAAUCUGCAACAUGCACCGAAAAUUAAAGCAUUUUGUUGCCGAUAAUAAAGCUAUUUUAUGCUCGCGGGCAUGGAGAACUGGAGUCUUGUAUCCCUUUGUGUUUUGCUCGGUUUUACGGCGAGAUGGGCUGUAAAUCCUUGAACUCGUAUUCAGAGCCAAGCGGAUAUACCCAGAGUGGGUGGAACUGCACACGUCUCAAGGCUAUGAAAGCUUAGCCCAUAAGAUGUUUACGAGAGCCACAGCUAAGACUACUGAAGGACAGUGAAGGAUCGAACAAGAGAAGGAUCAAGUGGCCAACACAUGGGUGCAGCUUGAACGGCCUGAUAAAGAUCAAGACCAUCCUGUCCACUGAUACCCAGCUCUACCUCGGUUUGGCCAACACUCUCCUGGCUAUCCUGCCUAUGUCAAUCAAACUAUUGGUGAACACUACUCAUUGGCAGUUCGAACUUCCCUUGACCACGUUUGCCUACUACUGAAUGACCUCCCUCUGCCAGCCAUCUGUUUUUUACAGGCCUCCCUGUUCACGUAAGAAGCUACAGUAGGGGGAACCACUGAUGGAGAAAGUAUACUGGCCAAUAAUAGCAGACCAACAGACCAGGUUAAAGGUCAUAGGAGAGACUAUUCAAAAAAAAAAGUACAAUCCUGUCCAUUGAAUGUAAACUCCUAAAAUCGCUGUUGGACAAAUCCUCGGAAAGUAUAGGAUGCUUUGUCAGAUGAAUGUUUGUGUUGAUGUUCUAUGGAUGGUUUUAUUCCCGGAAGAGUCACGUAAAGAUUCAAAUGAUGUCGGUAUGAAGGGAACAGUCGGAGAGGAAGCGAAACGGACUAACUUUCACCAGCUGUCGUUAACUUCUUCCAGCAGUACUAAUUGCUGUGCGUGUGGUUUAGUAUAGGGAUGUCUGUGGAUUACACUGCAUUGCCAGCAUACCUCUCCUCUAAGCAUGUCUUGUAUAGGGACAGCAAGUCAUUCUGUGUAUCAACUCUAGUACAGUCUAACUGACAGGGCCCGCAUUGUGCAUCUCCACUCCACCCAUUGAUGGAGACAUACAUCUUUUGUUUGGGUAAAUUGAAGACAUAAUUGCAUAAUUUAGUCAAAUGGUUUCUUAAGCACAGUUAUUGUAAGAGCGUCUGAAUGUGCUGGCUUUGUUGAACUGGCGAAGUAUGUAUUUAAAAAAGAAAUGUGAUGGGCAUUUAUUUUGCCAAUGAAUAGAUGGGGUUUUGUUGGAUUUAAGAAGGCCCUACUACGGCUGUCUGAAUUGUAAACACACGUCUGUCUUUAUGUGGCAUAGUCAGAGUUUAUUGGAUGGAGAUAUGUGUUUCUGAGAGACUACAUUGUUCUUGUGCUGCCCCUCUAUCUUUCCUCCGCAGUAUGCUGCCAUUGUUACUGAAGGAAGGUCUGUUGGUACGUGGUCACCUCCCUGGCCUUCCUGUUCGUCAGCGUAUACCUGCUUUUCCGCCCUCGGAGCAUUGCUCAGUAGACGAGCUGCGCCUGGGGCCCGACCACCGCCCCAUCCGUAUGCCCAGCAUGGACCACCUCUAUGUCUCUCUGUGAAAUGGAAAUGCUAAAGUAUUCAUUCAUCCAUUCAUAUCGAAACAUUUAUCCGAUUGCAAAGACAACACAGAUUGCGUUCUUUACCAGGCAGAUAGUUGCAAUGUUGUCUGUUCUAGUAGUGGGUAGGGCAGGGGUUGCCCAAUAUUUUCUUUACCUUACUCAAGUUACUUCAGAUAUGUAAAAAAAAAAUGUUCACAGCCACCCGGUGGGAAGAUGAGCUGGAGGUUUUUGUCACAGUAAUUUCAUGGUAAUUUCAGAAGGUUGUUGUCACUAACCACGUUUCCAUCCACAGUUUUGAUGUAAAGUCAUACCGUAGAAAACAAACAAAUCACGACAGCUGUGACGGAAACAGGGAGAUUGGUGGGGUCUUUUUGUGUCUAUAAAAUAAAUGAUGUGCUGAAUGGCGGUGGAAACGUCUUUUAUGCGCAAAUAUGAAUAUAAUAACCAUUCAUAUCGAAGUGAAACUUGGAGUCACGCGAUGAUAUCACAGGAGGUUGGUGGCACCUUCAUUUGGGAGGACGGGCUCGUAAUGACUGGAGCGGAAUCAGUGGAAUGGCAUCAAAAACGUCCAACACAAGGUUUCCAGGUGUUUGAUGCCAUUCCACUUGCUCCGUUCCGGACAUUAUUAUGAGCUGUUGUCCACUGCAUAAUAUGGUGUGUGGUCCUCCCACUAUGACUCGGGGAAAGCAUGCAGUUUAUUAGGCUACGGAUGAAAUAAGUUACGCUGAACUUCACAGGGUGGUGAACGUGUUGUUGAUGCUCCUUUCCAAUAAAUAUCAAGGGUCUUAUUCUGGUGACACGAUGAUCGAUGCUUGACUGCCGUUUGACAAAAAAAAAAUAUUCGGUCUUUUAUCCAUAAUAAUCUCAUCAUGUAGACUAGCCUACCCGCACAGUAUCAGCAAGCUGUUGGCUAGAAUGCACAUGUCAAGACCAGAGUUUGCUAUUUAACUAUAUAACAAUGUUUUAGUACAAUGGAAACACGUAGAACUUUACAUUGUUUUUUUCCGUACAUGACAAAUGAAGUGAAACAGUACAUGUUGUGUCGACUACGUCAUCACGCACCGAAGUUUGAUUGGUGGAAACACCACUGGUGGGAAAUGGGCAUAUUUUCUUUAUGCAGAUUUUUUAAACAUUUGCAUGAAAAUCUGUCACCUAUUGGAUGGAAACCUAGCUACAGUAAUUUCAUAGCCUGAAUUGCAUCAUCGUGAGAAGAUGCAUAUCUCUGCAACUGUAUAAAUAAAUAUAAUGUGCCACGGACUGUAAGCUGUGUAAGCUGCCUGGGAUGAAAGCCACUGCCAGGCCCCAAGUAUUAUUUAUCACUUAUUUAAGAUGCAGGCGUCUGACAUGGCUUCCUGGCCCUGCCCAGCUCUACAGCUGCACCCUCCCCUCCCUUAGCGACAGAAAUGGGGUGCAUCCCAAAUGUCACCCUACUCCCUAUAGUGCACUACUUUUGACUGUAGGGCUCUGGUAAAAAAAGUAGUGCACUGUAUAGGGAAAAGGGUGCCAUUUGGGAUUGGGACGUAGCCAGUGACACCGCUACUGGGCGGUGCUGUGCGGUGUGGGAGAUCACGAGAAGGAAGUGGUGUCUUUUUAUAGAGUCAUUAACACAAGUUUUGCCUAGAUAUAUUUAUUUACACAAGAGGCAUAAAUAAGGAGGCCCGGAGUUGGGGCUAGGGUUUAAUAGGGUUGGUCUCAUACGGAGACGCUUACGCAACCUACCCUCACUGAUCCCUUGGCCCGUAGGUCCCAAAUAGACAUGUUAAUGUUGAUCCUGCUACCAACACUGUUUGCCUUUCUGUUCGGGACGCACCGGCCGAGGCAACAUAAAUGUCAGCUUGUGAUGAGGGAGUGUCCUGUGAUGCGGGAUCGUCAUGCAAUGCCUCAUUUUAUUUUUGAUCUUGUCUACUUUGAAUAGUUAUUAUGACUAAGCCACACCCAUCCCACUCACGUUAGCAGUUCAGAACGAGAAAGUGUAGGCUAUACAGAAAUAUUUGAAAUUGAAAAUCAUUAAAUGAAGUAAUGAGGAUGUCUACCAGCCUAAUUGAGUUGGAGAUUACGUCUCACCUUCCAGUGUUCGAACUGGAAUGGAGAUUUCUCUUCGUGCUACUUACUCCGUGCAGCCAAUUGCGAUGUCUGCUUUAGGUAUAAUGCAGGAUAACACUUGUAGAUUUGACCGCUCUAACCCAGUUCCACCUCCAACACUACCCCCCAAAAAACCUGCUAUGCUGGUAUCGGCUUUCGCGGAUCUGAUAGAAUCCAGCCCUUAAUUAAUCUAAAAUCUAUUCAUGUAAAAUGUCAUUAGGACAUUAUCAAUUUGAAUGGCAUGUCAAAAUCAGUUUCUGAUUUGGCUCGUGGUCUAACUGUGACGGCUUAACUCCCUUAGAAAACUAUAGACCUGAAAAAUCUCUCUCCAUCUCUCUCUCUCUCAAUCUCUCCUGCAGUUCUACAUCUCCAUCGUGGCCAUGGCUGGUUUGUGCUUUAUGAGCAUGGCGCUGGCCCCUCUGGCCAGGCUGCCUGAUUUGUUUCCUCUCCUGGUGUCAGUGUUCUUUUCCACCACUUCCCGGGCCUCCUCUUCUACUUCAACCUUGUCCAGAUUGCCGAGCCGCCUCCACCUGGGAGUAAGAAUCAGAGUAGUCGCUACCCGGUAGAAAGAAAACUUACUGAAAAGCAAACUAUGCACAGUGCCUCAGUCACUGACCACCAAGGACCAAUAGGACUCAUGGAGAAAUGCUACUAGUGUAUAAUCUUUAUUGUAGGGAUAAUCCUCCUGUCAACAUGAAUGGUUGGUGUUUUGUCAAUGCCUAAUUAUGUACAUCAAACUUACAUUUUUAUGUUUUGUUUUUAACUUGAAUUGUUUUUCAAUAUUUCCAAAUGUUUGUUCCAUCAUUACAAUUAUUUUGUACAAACUGUAUUUUUCUUGAAAAAUUAAAUCACCUCAGAUAUGA